RNAcentral lists this ribosomal RNA (421 nucleotides) under uncultured Lachnospiraceae bacterium. RNAcentral describes it as "bacterial SSU rRNA". It matches the Rfam family "Bacterial small subunit ribosomal RNA", at positions 355 to 794 of the family's 1533-position model. Lineage: Bacteria; Bacillati; Bacillota; Clostridia; Lachnospirales; Lachnospiraceae. The record is from RNAcentral.
UGGGGAAUAUUGCACAAUGGAGGAAACUCUGAUGCAGCGACGCCGCGUGAGCGAAGAAGUAUUUCGGUAUGUAAAGCUCUGUCAGCAGGGAAGAUAAUGACGGUACCUGACUAAGAAGCCCCGGCUAACUACGUGCCAGCAGCCGCGGUAAUACGUAGGGGCAAGCGUUAUCCGGAUUUACUGGGUGUAAAGGGAGUGUAGGUGGCUGCGCAAGUCAGGAGUGAAAGCCCGGGGCUCAACCCCGGGACUGCUCUUGAAACUGCGCGGCUUGAGUGCAGGAGGGGCAGGCGGAAUUCCUAGUGUAGCGGUGAAAUGCGUAGAUAUUAGGAGGAACACCGGUGGCGAAGGCGGCCUGCUGGACUGUAACUGACACUGAGGCUCGAAAGCGUGGGGAGCAAACAGGAUUAGAUACCCUGGUAGU